AAUUUGUAUUGGUAUGUGUUGUAUAAAAGCAAUCAAAUCAAAUCCAUGAAUACACAGGAAAAGCUCAACUGGAUCAGUGUGUGUAUAAAAACACAGAAGGAUUCACUCUCGAUUUGAAGUUUCGGAGAGUCCACUGUAAUGACCGAGUGUUUUGGUACACAGACUGACAUAUAUAUCGCUCUACAGAGUAGUUAUGACGGUCUAGGGCUCUUAUUUCGUUCCCCACAGCUUGUCUGUGGCAGAGAGCCAGAAAUGUGUGUAUUUGCAAGAUGUUACAGUAGAUUUACUCAUUUGUUCCUUGCAUCACCUGUUUACCUGAAGCUCUGCUCUGCAGUUACAUCACGGAACUUUGAUUGUGGAACUUUUUCUUUUCUUCAGCCAAUAAAAGACCAGUUCUAUUUGUUGACCCAAAAGAACCGCCACAAUUGGUUGUGUCCGAGCGUCCCACCUCUGUGUCCCGCGGGAGAGACACUAAACUGAAGACUCGUCUAAGUUGGGUGAUGGUCAGACAGACUCUGGCAGAGAUAUUGUGAGGAUGGAAGCAGGACGCCUCUGUAUUGAGCAAGCAGUGGCUCGUUUCAUCAUCAUGGCAAACACCUCGGCUCUGAGCCUGAACUCCAGCAUCUCUGGGUGGCGUCGUCCGCUGUGGUACCAGUAUGAAGUGUGUGCGGAAGCUCCUCAUUGGUUCAUCUUCUACUUUGGAGUCAAAGUAUUGAACCUGGUUGCAGGCGUUCCCCUGAACACACUGGUGUUGUGGCAGAUUCUGAGGAAGAAGAGCGAAGGCUCAACAUCUGAUGUCUUCAUUUUCAACCUCUCUAUCCUGGAUGCCUAUUUCGGCCUCAUGACGCCGGUGGAUAUGGUCAACCGGCUGUACUUCAACAAUCCAUCCGUCUGGUACUCUCAGCGUUUCGCCUACGGGCUGAAAGACGUGACUCCGUUGUUUCUCACCUGUAUUUGUCUGGACAGGUACAUCGCUGUGGUCCAUCCCAUCCUCUUCACCGGGACCCGUGACACUCGCAUCCGGAUUGGCGUCUCGUUGCUGGUGUGGGGACUCAUCCUAGCCUACUCUUUGACCAAAUGCAUCUUAGGCAUCCUGAGCGUGAACGAGGUCUUCAGCGGCGUCAUCCUCUCGGCCUUCUUCAUCAUGGUGUUCUGCAACCUCUCCAUCAUCUGGGUCCUCAGGAAGAGCGUCGCAGGGAAAGAAGUCAUGAACCCGGUGAAGAAGAAGGCCUUCAAAAUGGUGCUUAUCAUCCUCGGCAUCAUCGUGGUGAACUAUCUGCCUCCUGUGGCUCUGCUGCCGUUUGCUUCCACCUUCUCUUUCGUGACGCUGCACUGUAGGGUUCUUCUCGGCGUGUUCUCCAUCAUGGACCUGAGCUGCACCAUCGAGCCUUUGCUCUACAUCUCUAAGAUGGAUCGAUCUGCAUUCUGUCAAUGCCUGCAGAGUCCCUCUAAGAAACCCAUCACCGUGAGCGUCUGAAAUGAAUGUCUGAUGUUAUGAGUGUGAUUCUUGACUCAGUGUAUCUGUCUAAUCCAGUGGUUCUCAACUGGUGCGUCUCAGGUCUGCUGUGAUUGGUCACUGAAAAAGGGAAAAAUACUAUUAACUGCAAAAGAGUAAAUAUAUAAUCAUUAUGACAGAUAGACUCAUCAACCAAAUAAAGAAAAGAGAAAACACCUUCCAUUCUUUUGCUACUGAUGUCCACUGAUACUCUGUCCAUCAAACUCUACAGUAUUUUGACACAAAUUCAUCCAACCACAGUAAGAUUGAUCUUUACUAGGGUAAAAGUCAAAUUAUACUUAUGGAUCAACAUGGGCAGGGUAUGUGACACUUACCGAG
RNAcentral lists this long non-coding RNA (1834 nucleotides) under Sinocyclocheilus grahami. RNAcentral describes it as "lncRNA (ENSSGRG00000002376.1)". Lineage: Eukaryota; Metazoa; Chordata; Actinopteri; Cypriniformes; Cyprinidae. The record is from RNAcentral.